UACGAAGGCCCCGAGCGUUAUCCGGAUUUAUUGGGCGUAAAGCGUUCACAGGCGGUUUCAUAAGUCACUGGUUAAAUCCCACAGCUCAACUGUGGGGCCGCUGGUGAAACUGUGAGACUUGAGGUUGGAAGAGGCAAGCGGAACUACCGGUGUAGUGGUGGAAUGCGUAGAUAUCGGGAGGAACACCAGUGGCGAAGGCGGUUGCCUGGAGCUUUGCUGACGCUGAGGCGCGAAAGCGUGGGGAGCGAUCCGG
This 253-nucleotide ribosomal RNA is filed under the name uncultured bacterium. RNAcentral describes it as "partial 16S ribosomal RNA". It matches the Rfam family "Bacterial small subunit ribosomal RNA", at positions 524 to 776 of the family's 1533-position model. The record is from RNAcentral.